RNAcentral lists this ribosomal RNA (539 nucleotides) under uncultured bacterium. RNAcentral describes it as "bacterial SSU rRNA". It matches the Rfam family "Bacterial small subunit ribosomal RNA", at positions 777 to 1314 of the family's 1533-position model. The record is from RNAcentral.
AAUAGAUACCCUGGUAGUCCACGCCGUAAACGAUGAGUGCUAAGUGUUGGGGGGUUUCCGCCCCUCAGUGCUGCAGCUAACGCAUUAAGCACUCCGCCUGGGGAGUACGGUCGCAAGACUGAAACUCAAAGGAAUUGACGGGGGCCCGCACAAGCGGUGGAGCAUGUGGUUUAAUUCGAAGCAACGCGAAGAACCUUACCAGGUCUUGACAUCCCGGUGACCACUAUGGAGACAUAGUUUCCCCUUCGGGGGCAACGGUGACAGGUGGUGCAUGGUUGUCGUCAGCUCGUGUCGUGAGAUGUUGGGUUAAGUCCCGCAACGAGCGCAACCCUUAUUCUUAGUUGCCAUCAUUCAGUUGGGCACUCUAAGGAGACUGCCGGUGAUAAACCGGAGGAAGGUGGGGAUGACGUCAAAUCAUCAUGCCCCUUAUGACCUGGGCUACACACGUGCUACAAUGGACGGUACAAACGGUUGCCAACCCGCGAGGGGGAGCUAAUCCGAUAAAACCGUUCUCAGUUCGGAUUGUAGGCUGCAACUCG